GCCGGGCGCGGUGGCUCAAGCCUGUAAUCCCAGCACUUUGGGAGGCUGAGACGGGCGGAUCACGAGGUCAGGAGUUCGAGACCAUCCUGGCUAACACGGAGAACCCCCGUCUCUAAUAAAAAAUACAAAAAAAAACUAGCCGGGNNNNNNNNNNCCCGGCUAGUUUUUUUUUGUAUUUUUUAUUAGAGACGGGGGUUCUCCGUGUUAGCCAGGAUGGUCUCGGACUCCUGACCUCGUGAUCCGCCCGUCUCAG
Chlorocebus sabaeus (green monkey) is the source of this 253-nucleotide non-coding RNA. It matches the Rfam family "Metazoan signal recognition particle RNA". From Rfam's summary of the family: The signal recognition particle (SRP) is a universally conserved ribonucleoprotein. It is involved in the co-translational targeting of proteins to membranes. Lineage: Eukaryota; Metazoa; Chordata; Mammalia; Primates; Cercopithecidae. The record is from Rfam.